Molecule: transfer RNA, 83 nt
Filed under: Methanofollis liminatans
Lineage: Archaea; Methanobacteriati; Methanobacteriota; Methanomicrobia; Methanomicrobiales; Methanomicrobiaceae
Also listed under: 5 other names
Description: tRNA-Leu
Rfam family: tRNA
About the family: Transfer RNA (tRNA) molecules are approximately 80 nucleotides in length. Their secondary structure includes four short double-helical elements and three loops (D, anti-codon, and T loops).
Source: RNAcentral
GCGAGGGUAGCCAAGUGGUCAACGGCGGUGGACUCAAGAUCCACUCACGCAGGUGUUCGCGGGUUCGACUCCCUCCCCUCGCA